Molecule: ribosomal RNA, 433 nt
Filed under: uncultured bacterium
Lineage: Bacteria
Description: partial 16S ribosomal RNA
Rfam family: Bacterial small subunit ribosomal RNA
Source: RNAcentral
AACGAACGCUGGCGGCAUGCCUAACACAUGCAAGUCGAACGAGACCUUCGGGUCUAGUGGCGCACGGGUGCGUAACGCGUGGGAACCUGCCCUUAGGUUCGGAAUAACUCCCCGAAAGGGGUGCUAAUACCGGAUAAUGUCUUCGGACCAAAGAUUUAUCGCCUUUGGAUGGGCCCGCGUUGGAUUAGCUAGUUGGUAGGGUAAAAGCCUACCAAGGCGACGAUCCAUAGCUGGUAUGAGAGGAUGAUCAGCCACACUGGGACUGAGACACGGCCCAGACUCUUACGCGAGGCAGCAGUGGGGAAUAUUGGAAAAUGGGCGGAAGCCUGAUCCAGCAAUGCUGCGUGAGUGAUGAAGGCCUUAGGGUUGUAAAGCUCUUUUACCCGGGAUGAUAAUGACAGUACCAGGAGAAUAAGCACCGGCUAACUCCGUG